Molecule: ribosomal RNA, 519 nt
Filed under: Hansenula anomala
Lineage: Eukaryota; Fungi; Ascomycota; Saccharomycetes; Phaffomycetales; Wickerhamomycetaceae
Description: Wickerhamomyces anomalus partial 26S ribosomal RNA
Source: RNAcentral
GCCCUCGAUCCAGACAGGCAAUAUCAGCAGAAGCUAUAACACUCCACCGAAGUGAAGCCACAUUCAACUGCCAUUAUCUUGCCAUCCGAAUCGAUGCUGGCCCAGUGAAAUACGAGUGCACAACUCAAGAAGAGAAGAUAAUCGUAAAACACCAAGUCUGAUCUAAUGCCCUUCCCUUUCAACAAUUUCACGUACUUUUCACUCUCUUUUCAAAGUUCUUUUCAUCUUUCCAUCACUGUACUUGUUCGCUAUCGGUCUCUGCCCAAUAUUUAGCUUUAGAUGGAAUUUACCACCCACUUAGAGCUGCAUUCCCAAACAACUCGACUCUUCGAUAGCACCUUACAUAGGAAUGGGCAUCUCAUCAGACGGGAUUCUCACCCUCUAUGACGUCCUGUUCCAAGAACAUAGACAAGAGCCAAMCCCAAGGUUACCAUCUUCAAAUUACAACUCGAACACCGAAGGUGCUAGAUUUCAAAUUUGAGCUUUUGCCGCUUCACUCGCCGUUACUGAGGCAAUCCC